UUUUUUUUUUUUUUACAGGGACGAAAAUCAAAAUGAGCCCAAAUUACAGGGACAGUUUGCAUAUUUAAGCCUAUAAUUAAUUUCCUUCGAUCGAAACAAAUUGACCUCCUCGCCACAUCCUAUGCAUUGUCUUGAUUUCUCAACUACAAUAUAAAAAAUUGUGGGUAAACCACACCCACAUUUCUAGAGGGUAUAGUAGAGGGUCAAAAUCUUAAAAGAACAUACAUACAAAAACAAAGCAUGCAAGAAUACAUGGCGUGAUAAACGCCAUAAAGUAAAAAAUUCCACAUACAAGAUGCGGUGAUGUAAAAUUAGUCAAAAAAAUUUAGUGUUUUGCAGCGAGAAAUCAUGUUUCUCGACAAAUCCAAGACAUCAUGUGAAGGAUUAAGCAUAUGAAGAUUGAACUCAAUGGUUCUUAGAAGGUUCUUGAAGACAAUACAAAGUGAAGAAAAUUCAUUUCAAGUUCCUAGGAGUUUACAAACGAAAGAACAGUCGAAAACAUGACGAAAACACAAGAAAUCGCCGGGAGAGGCUGCCAGAUGCGCCUGGAAUAUGCCCCCCUGCACAUGAAGUAGCAUUUUCUACUGCCUCAUGCGCCCUUGUGUCUAGGUUCAUGCGCCCCUAUGCACUGAUGCGGAUAAAAACACCAGUUUCCUUGUUUUUUAAGUUGAAUCAGUGCAAAAAAACCCAAUUUUCUUCUCUAAAACCCUAAGUAAUCAUAUGCUACAAAUAAAGACCUUUACACACAUUAUUUUUCAUUCAUAAAGUUAGUGGUUCAAGGCAAGGGUCAAACAUUAAAGUUCCAAGGCAGGAUCUUCAUCUUCCUCUUGUUCUCUCUUGGCUAUGUUUUUCUAUUGUUUUGUUAUGUUGGUUGUUACCAUGAGCAACUAAACCUAUUGAUUAGGGUUCUAAGAUGAACCCUUUCUUAUUGGUUGGAUUCAAUUGAUAAAGUUUUCAUUCAGUUAUGUUUUUCUUGUGUCCAAUUUAAAUUAGUUCUUGUCUGUUUUUAAUGCUUUUUCAAAUGAGAUCUCCGUAACAUAAUCUUAAAAAUUGACCCAUAAGAGAAAACUAGGAUUGACAACCCGAAAUUCUUUAUCCAUGUGUGUUUGUUCUAAUUACUUAUUUCAUAAUUAUGUUAAUGAAAUUCAAGUUUGAAAUAUAAUGUUUUCUACUCUCUUCUUUGGGGAAGGCCUUAGUAUAACUAGGUUAACUCAGAAUAUACGUUGUCGUAAGAUGUUUUAAUGGAGUUUUUAAAUAUUAGUUUCAAUAAAUCAUAAGUAGACCCCACACAACUGAUUGUAUUCGAAGUUAAUUCCAACAAAUACGUAGGGGGAUUCAAGGAUUCUCAUACUUGAUGUAAGUAUUUGCGAUUCCCAAGAACUCGUUUAGAGUUAUGGGCUAGUCGAGAUGUACAUAUUUUUUAAAGUUUGUUCCCUACUGCAUGCCUUUCUCGAUUAUGCACUUCUUCAUUUUCUCGUUCUCUCCUCAGACCUGAACAACUUCUUAGUUGAACCUUUUGAGGUACUCUCGAAGAGGUUUGUUUUCCCCCUACAUGAUGGCUUCAAGGGAGGUGAUCGUAUUAGGAUGGGUCCUUGAAUUUGUGAAGUGAGCUGUGAACUAGUGUCACAAGUAAUUCCAUGAGUUAAUGAAAUUCGUCCUGAGAUUUUUGUACCAAGUCAUGGCAACUCAAGGCAGUGUGGUUACAAACAUUUUACAUUUGACCGAUCCACAAAAAUUUAUGUAGUUCAAGACCGCCUCGAUGUUCUUUGUAACGCCCUAGUCGUCAUAUUUAAUUAUUUUGAUUUAUGUGGAGUCUAUAUAUAUAUAUAUGAUUUUUGGUGAUUUAUGUGGUGUGUUUAUUUUAUUAUAUAGUUUAUUUUAAUAAUAAUUAGAAUAAGUAUGAAAUAAUAAUUAUUUUGGUGUUUGGGGAAUUAAUAGAAGUUAAUAGAAAUUAUGGGGAGUUAAGUGAAAAUAAAAGGGAGUUACAAGUAAUGGGAAGUUAGGAAAAGAGAAAUUAGAAAGCUUUGUACAUAAAACUGACAAGUUGGGAGAAAAAGGAGAGAAGACCAAGUUAGAGCCAAGAGUGAUUUUGCUGCACAUUUCUUCUGCAAAUUCUAAGGUAAGGGUGAGGUUUACUUCAAUAGUGUAGUUAUUGGUUUCUGAAUUUGAAUUUAACAGAGUUAUAGUGAGAAUUGGGAUUUUGGGAUUUUAUGUUGAAUUGUUGAUUUUGGAGUUGUGAGUGUCAAUUUGAUGUUAGAAAUAGGUUCUAAGUGCAUACAGAAAGUUAAUUUGCAUCUGUAAACUGAUUUGGGGAGUGAUUGGAAGAAAAAUGGGAUUUUUGGGAAAAACCAGGUUUUUGCCCGUACAGAAGUUCAUCGCUCGCCUCGCGAGCAUUCAUGUUUCGCCUCGCGAGUGAGCAACUUCUUCGCUCGCCUCGCGAGCAGACCAACUCGCCAUGGCGAGCAAGCCUGGACAAAACUUGAUUUUUGAAAAGUUGUUAUAAGAUGUUUUGGGGAUGGUUUAAGGUACCUAGAUGAUAUUAAUGAUGACUGGAACAAGUUUUAGGUUAAAAAGAUGAAUAGGGAGCUUAGAAUUGAGGUUUGAGUGAGAAAAAAUCAUUUUUCACGAGAGCACCUAAUUUUCACUCGCCUCGAGUUCGCCUUGAACUCGCAAUGGCGAGCAAGUGGUUUUGUGAACUCGCCAUAGCGAGCAGAUGUGCUCGCGAGGCGAGCUGUGCAGUUUUGAGUGCUGUUUUGCUUGCAUGAAUGGUUGUGAUAGAAUAUUGUUGUUUAAGCAUAGUUAUAUUUAAUUGUGCAUAUUUCUGGAUGGUUGGAUCUCUACUGGAUGUUGUUACUGAUGACCGUGAUUAUGCUAAAAUUUAUUGAAUCAUACAUGUUUUUUAAGUGGAGUCACAUGGAGUUUGUAUGCAUGGUCAGUUGUAUGUAGAUAUACACAAGUAGGUCCAUUGCAUAUGCAUAAAAACAGCGGUGAGGGCUUCGGUCCUGGAGUACUAGUUGCUCAACAGCGGUGAGGGCUUCGGUCCUGAUGAAUGCUUUAACCAUUCAAAAGCGGUGAGGGCUUCGGUCCUGUCUGGUACCACAUGCAUAUUUGCAUAUUUGACGAGUCUAAGGUGUUGUCUUAGCAGUGUUGUCAUGUCAUUUGCAUGAGUCUUAGUUGUUGGUUGUGGGUGCUACAUUGAUGAUGAUGAUGUUGUUGAUGAAUGUAUAUAUUUUUACACAUAUGGUGAUUGAUGGAUUUUGAAGAUGUUUGUUGUUGCUUGUGGAUUAAAUACUUAUAUUUGCAAGAUAAUGUGUUUUGUUGUUUAGGGUGUUAGAUUCAAUUGAAGAUUUUAAUAUCUAUAUUUAUUGUUGUGAAUCUCACCUCUUCUGCUUGAAAAUGUUGCCCUUCCUAUGGGUAACUUGCAGGUGAUCCUGAGUAGUCGGUGGUGGCUCAAGAGUCGUGUCUAGGGCUCUGAUACGUGGGAUGGGAAUUAUUAUAUUAUUGUUGUUUUCCUACCUAUGUAUCAAUUUUUGGAACUUGUUGAUGUGGCCCUUUGUUGGUUGACUUAUUGUUGAUUAGGCUUAAUGCCAAGAUGUUGUUGGAGAAUUUAACCGUUGUUGUUGUUAUUGAAAUGCAAACUUUCCGCUGCAUGAUUUUGAAGUUAUUAAACAUGUUGAAUUAAAUAGUUUUAUUUUCUAUUUAAGAAUUUUUAAAAUGUAGUGUAGCAUGCCCGUAUGUGAAGUACUCUGAUGAAUAUUUGUUAUUUAAUUGUUUUUGGGUAACGGGGUGUUACAUUCUUGAUGUGCUCAUGUUGAUGAAAGGUUGCAUCAUCUGUGUCCAUCUAGGGAGACUUCUCUAGUCCCUACGGAAUCCAUGUUUCUUUGAUCCGUCGGGUGAAUGGACCAUACGACGCGCAAUCGUCAUCAAAGUAUGACGAAGACCACUAGCACCUUGUAUGCCUUGGGGAGUGGGGUUACCUUCUGCUCGGAGAACGCCUAGGAUAUCUUAUCUUUAGAGAAUGUCCGGGAGACCUUCUGCUCAGAGAAUGUCUAGGGGACUUAGAUCUUGAUGGACGGGGGUUCCCUCCCAUGCUGCUACGAUGGUGAUCUCCUCAGUGUGUCCUUGGAGCGGGUAUCCUCCAUUUCUUUGAUGUGGCAGUUAUGAUCCUUAAUCAUAUAAUUUUUGCGAUGUAGGGUUUGAAGGAUGUUGAUGAACAUGGAAUCUGCGAGAGAUGCAUUGCUUACUUCCUCGUUUGGCCACGGAGGGGCCAAUUAGAGGAGCCUCUCGAAGUGGACUCACCAUUGAUGGGAAACGAUGGUGGCACUCAUCAGUUGGUGAGGGAGUUAAUGUUUGACUGUCAUGUUGUGGACGGUGGAUCUCACUCCUGAUUUGGGAUGUUCCACCGUUGGCCAUCGUAAGAGUAGGUUCUUUUUAGGAAAUUUAUGGAUAUUUGGUCUUUUGAUUAGGAAAAGACGACACCAUUAAUUGUACCUGAUAAGAUGACAAUGUCCGAUGCAGUUUUUUGAGCUUUGGAAUGACGGGGGGUGUACCUACAGACACUCUAACGCUCAAGUCAGUUUGAGAGUUAGAAUGGUGGUAGGAGAUCGAAAUGGUAUCGUACCUUUGCCGAUUGUGUAAAGGUCUCUUAUAUAGAGGUGACAUGCAGGAGCCGCUGUAGGGCACAAUGAGGCAUCUGACGGUUACAAAUUUGUAGGAAUCGUUAUUGUCGAGCGAGAAUCGUGGGCAUGUUCUGCAUUCAGUUUGAAUGGGUCUUCCGAAGGCUCCAAACAACCACCUCGUGGAGAGAAGGUGUGUGUUAGAAGUAAUCGACACAAACACAAGAGUGGGCUUGUUUUGGUUCUGACAUGUCCAAAUAAGCCUUACACAACUACUCAGUCCAUAACAUAUUUAAUAUAAAAUGAUCAAUAAAAAAAGAUAUGCAUGCUCUAAGGAAUCAAUUCUAAAUGACGUGAAAUCUUAGCAAUGUACAUUUAGUUGAACCUAGAACAUGGAAAAUAUCAUGAAAAUUCAAGCUACCAACUUGAAGAAAUCCGUAAAACAAUAAUGUAUAGUGAUUAGCAAAGCGCAAUCACACGCAUCUCGAUUGUUCUAUCAAGUAUGAUCCAAUGCUUAAAAUAAAAAAAUAAAUAAUACUAUUUAAUAAAAAACUAGAGUUCGUAAACUAGACUGUCCAAAACCGAGAUGUAGUGAUUGUGUGCAAUCACAUAAUCGUGACUACACCUAAUCUUGAUGUAAUAAUCAUAGCUUAUUACCCCCUCACGUCCUCCUUAAUAUAAGAAGAAAACAUAUCAAAACUAAGACAAUCAUUAACUGUUGUAACUUUUUAAAUGCUUUUACAAAUAUUCUAUCAUAAAAAAGCCUUCUACGUAAGUUUUGACUUUUUUUUUUUAUUUUUUUUUUAUAAAAAAUAGAAUCAAUUUAUUUUUGAAAAAUUUCUUAUAUUAAUGACUAGAGGGAGUAAUUUUCUUUUACAAUAAAUAUUAGUUGUUACUCCAAUGCGCAACAGUUGAUCUGAUAAUAACAUAAAAAAACAUACAAGACAUGUAGUUAAAUAUGUAUAUGAAAAGAUAAAAAUAUAAUUCAUGUGUGCACAAAAAUAAUCUCGACGAAUGCCUUUUACCCUUUUGUGACUUCAGUUGAACAUUUUUAUUACUAAAACUAAAGUAUAAUAGAAUACUUUUGCGACAAGAACAUAAUAAUAUAAAUCGAUGACCUCAACACAAAAUAUUCUCAGGUUUUUUCCUAUAAAUAAUUGUUUCGAUCUUUUCAUUGUGUUAAUCAAAAUUCGAUCAAAAUAUGGGCUCUAAAUAUUCAUUAGUAUUACUUUUACUUGGAAUGAUAAUGCUUACCACCGUGGUUGGUGAAAGAAAUAGUAAUAAUUUUCGACAUUCUCCUAUGUUAGAUCCAGAAGAUGAUUGGCCAGAAAUUUUUCAUGAACAACUACCAUCCAACUAUAAAAUAUCUAAGAGGAGUCAUCAGAUUACGAGACAAACUUGUCAGAUGAAGCCAUCAACCACAUCGUUUGAGCCAGUCCACAUUGCAAAAAUUUCAUACCAUUACAAGUGAUCGAAGUGGCAAAAGUGGAUCUAGUAAAAUAAUAAGAACAAUUGUUUGUCGUAUGAAGUUUUAUUUUCUUUAUUUUUUCCUAUUCACCUUUAAGAACAACUGUCUAGUAAAAUAAUAAGAACAAUUUCCCCCUUUAUUUGAUUAAAGACUCUAUGAAGAUGUAUAUGUAUAAUAAUUACCUCUCAUUUCAGCAUAAAUCAUAUCAACUACCAAUGGUUUUAUCUAUGAUAACAAUAAUAAUGCCAAUUUGGAUUGAUAUAUACUCCAUCUAUCUCAAUUUAAUUGUCACUUUUACAAUUUUUUUUGUCUAAAUAAUUUUUUUUAGAGGUCUAUCUCAAAAUAAUUGUCACUUUAUAAUAUUAAUGUAGUAUUUAUUAUUUUUCCAGUGAUAAAUCUUUAUUUGUUGAAUUUCAACAAAUUUAACUACUACAACUAAUAAAAGUGUUUUUCCCUCAAAAAUAAUAAUUAAUAAAAGUGUUUUCAUAUAUGAUACUAAUUGUAUCAUUGAAAUCAUUUUAAUUAAUCACUUUCUUAUGAACCGCGUACAACCUAAAAACGACAAUUAAAAUGAGAUAAGUUGUAAAAAAUAAAUUUUUUUGAUUAAAUUUAUCCGACAUUUUAACUUUAAAAUUUAUUGAAUCAUCAUGAGUUAAGAUAAGGCAGGAUCAACUCAUUGACCUGGAAUAUUUGUAUGCUUAAAUUCAUCUUUUUGUAAUGAUGGAGUGCUAAAUGGUAUGGUGUAGUUUCGGAGAAGACCAUGCGAAAAAUAGUAAUGAGAACAACUAUGUUCAAACUAGAUUAUUUUGUGAUUGUGUUAUGCUUUUUAUAAGUUUAAUUGAUUCUCAGGGCAUAGUUGUUAUAAAUGUUUUAGUGAGAAAAAAUAGAACAAAACAAAAGGUUCAACCACGACCAAACUCACAAAGCGCAAUACGAGAUGUGCAUCGCAAUAUUCGAAGGAAUUGACCUAUGUCCAGUCUCAUAUCAACUCGUAUCACGCACUAUGAUUAGCACACCAUUAGGUCAUAAGGAAUUAUAAGGUGUUUGCUCUCACACAACUUGCAUCGCAACAUAAAGACCCCACAUUGAAGGCUAAUUAUUCUGAAAAAGUAGGAAAACACUCAUAUAAAUAGUGAAUGAAGGUGAGAAAAAUUCAAGAGAUUUUUCCAGCAUAAAUAAAUCCUGAUUACAACAUCAACAUUAUGACAACCUAGUCAUAGAUUUUCUUUCCUUAACCUAGAGGACUUCUUGAUCUCAAACCAAAGAUUUAAAACAAGAUAUUACAAUAGUUGCGUUUACAUAAACUUUAGGAGUAGUAAACAUAUGUAAGCACAAAAGACUUAAAAGUGUAUCUAAUGACUUUCUAUGACUCUCUAUAGACAAGCUAUACAAUCAACAUAAUAUGAAUAAAGUAUGUAUAUAAUAUAUUCUUAUGUAUGUAUGUAUAUCUACAUGUAGGUGUGUACGUGCGAAACCUUCUUUAGUCAUAGCUUGUUCCUUUAUAAAGAGAUGAAGCUUGAUGAUUGUUGCCGAAGAAUUAACCGUGUCUUUGAAUGUCUAAUUGAAUUUUGAGAUAUUUUGAUUAAAUAUAUUCGUUGAAUCAACAUUUCAUUUCCAUCAAUGAUGCUCUUAAUAAUUUUUUCUCAAUUGCAUUAGUCAGAACAUUGUUUCCUUUCUUAGCGAAGAGUCAUUGCAUGCAUCAAUGAUGUAUCCUUAAGUUAUCUUGUUAAUGCAAAGGAUCUGAGUCCAGAGGCUUGAAGCACGUAGAAUUUACUCCUAUAAAAUUUGAGCUUGAUCUUGAUACAGAGUCUUGUUUUUAUCUACAACAAAUAGAUUCACUUCAAUGUCUAGAGAGUUGACUAGUAGCCCAUAUUGUUGACUUGGUCUAGAGGCAAAACUUCAUAACACGCCCCAAUCAAACUCUCUGCCUAUCCUUUAAUAAUCCAUAUAAAGGCUUAAAAUACGACUUAAGAUCGCCUACACCUUACUCUCGCUUAGUAAACUAGAAUCACUCCACUAAUUAAGACUUACAUCGCUCAUAUGUAAUUGAAUACUACCUAAUAUACAUUCCCUGAAGUAUCCUUCACAUUAGCAUUUAUAGCUAUCUAUCUAAAACAUUAUCCACCAGAUGGUUAUCACCCCAGUUCGUAACUAACUUAAAUCACAUCCAUGAAUUUGUCAUAACUUAUUCACUGACAACUAAGCUUUCAAGGUCGAACUGAGAAUUCUCAACCCAUACUACCAUCCUUAUUGGUAAAUCCUCAAUACUGAACUCAUGUCUCAUAUUACUUCAACUUAUAUCUAGAACUAAUUUAACUCCAAGGUUGCCGUCUUAACGUUUAACUUCUUAUCCCGAAGACUAAAACUCCCCUUCCGAAAUGGCACCAGCUGUGAAACAUAUUUGAGAAGCCGGGGUGUCUCUCCCACUUGUUUUUUCCCUACACGCAACUUCCUGUUGAACUUCCACUCUCCCAUAUUAGUUGAAACGUCACAAGGCUUACAUGACAAAACAAGGGGUAAGAAAUCCUGCCAUAACAUAAUAAUAGGGAAAAACAUGCAUAUUAAAUAAAUAUCAAAAUAAUAUAAUCUCCAACAUAUCUCCACUCUCAACAAUUAUUAUGUAUAAUCUCUUCUUUUCACAUAUCACAUCAGCACAUCAUUUUCACACUGAAAAAACCCCCAAGCACAAACAUCAUCAUAUACAUGCAUAUGGACUCUCCUAUAGACCUAUAUUAAUGUGGUACCACACCUACUCAUUAUUUCACCAGAGUUAUGUUACUAGAAAUUCACUACAUAAAUUUCUAGAGGUAUAUGUUACUGGACUUUCAUUGCAUAAUAUGUCAGAUGUAUAUAAUACUGGACUUUCACUGCAUAACAAUGCAAGACAUCAUGCUCUAGACUCUACAUGGAAUCAUAGAAUUAAAAUCAACAAGUAUUACAAGUAUACACUUAACACCUAAUCCACAUAGUAAUGCAAGAUUCAUCCUACGAUGCACAACUCUAAUGCAAGCACACAAAACAUCAUCUCCACUCUCAUCAUCAUCAUCAUCAUCAUCAUCAUCAUCAUCAUUAUCAUCAUAGAUAAACAUCAUCACUCUCACUAUCGGCAUAACUUAACCAUUAACGCUCUCAUCAUGACAAAAACAUAGACAUCAUCAUUGUCAUUGUUAUUAUAAUAUAACAUCAUCAUUUGCCAUCAUGGUAAUUUCUUUACAUAUAUAUAAUAUGAAUCGUCAUCACUCUUUGUCAUAGUUGUAGGACUCCUCUUCAUUAUUCUCUAUCAUAUGUUUAUAUCACAACCUUAUCUCUUCAUUAAUCAACACCUUACGCGUGACUCAUUUGACGUCAACAUCCCUUUAUUCUAUUUUAUUAUUCAUCUUACAGACGUACUAUAUUCUCUCAUCUAUUCUAGGCCCUAUAUAUACUUUAUUCUGAUAUCAUACCCUAUUCAUCAUUCUUAGCCUUAAGAUAUUUAUUUGUUCAUUAUCAUUAUAUACAAAGUCUCCUGUCUUUACAACUAGGUCCUACCUCACCAUCGUCAUUAACUCCUUCAUACUGAUUCUUCUCAAUAAAAAUAAUUUAUAUCUUAUUAAUUUGUUCUCAUAUUCAUAUUCAUAUAUGCAUCGUCCAUUCCCCUAAUCUUAACUUCAUUCUAAUUUAGAGUUAUUAUCUCACCCUAUCAUUAAUUUCGACUUCAACAACUUUCCUCACUACGACUCCAUUCUAAUUAAAGGUUUUAUUCUCUCGAUACUGGUCAUUAUUAUCAUCGUCUAACCUUAUAACUAAUAUUUCUUAUCUUCUUUCCUACUAAUUUUUCUCUCUUUUAAUAGAUUCACAUCUUAUUCUUUCCCUAUCAAUAUUCCUAUUAACUUAUGUUACUAAAUCUAAAGAAAAAAUCAUUGAUCGAUGUUUAAGGUGGAGGGAAGGGCAUGUAAAGAAGGAUGAAGUGGUUGAUGAAAGUGUGCAAAAAUUAUAUGAAGAAUGUGAAAGAAUUAUUUCUAUUUUGAUUCUGAAAAUUUAUUGUUACUUCAAAUAAAACUUGUGUAUUUUUUUUACAACCGUCUUAUUUUUUCCGUACUACCAUAUAUUAUUUCAGGUGACUCUAUCUCAAUCUUUUCAAACUUCUAGCUGUAGGGACAUACUUAGUAAAACAUUAAAUGUCCGUGAGUAUCCUAAAACAGUUCUUAAUGAAAGUCAAAAGAAGAGUGAAAAAAAUCCAAGUUCUAAAGAAUUAAUGGCCAAUAUUUAAAAGUUAGAAUCUGAAGUUCAUCAAUUGAAAAAGGAAAAGGGAAAAGAUAUGUCAGGAAGUCAACAUGAUAUGCGUAUCCUUAGUUACAAAGAUAGUUCCAACAUUUAUUUAUAUAAGAACAUUCCCGAGGUAUUUAAUUACUUGUAUAUAUUUCAUUUAGUAAUUUGCUAAUUAUAUUUGUUAUUAACUUUUUGUUGAUUAUUGGUUUAGGGUAUAUCACCUCUUUCAAUGUACCUGUUGUCUCCUACUUAUCGCAUAAUCUCUAAGGGAAGGGUAAACACUAUCUUGGGAGAUAAACUUCACUAUAAGUCACUCCUUGUUGGCUAUUUGAAAGUAUUAAUUAAUAUUGCUUUAGAACAGGAAGCAGGGUUGUCCAUACCUAAUGAUGUUGCUGAUAUAAGCUUGGUUGGAGAUGCAAUAGAAUCAUAUGUGGCAUGGCCAAGAAACCUCAUUUCCCUAAAUCUUGAGGUAAAGUAAAAUAAAUAAAUUAUUCUCUAUGAAAAAAUUGGAGUUUUUUUUUUUGUUUUUUUUGUUUUACUUUGUUUAUGUGUGGUUUUUGGUAUAAAUGUUUAGUUUAUUAUUUUAUCACUAACUCAAUCAGUUACACAUAGAUUCCUGCAACAUACAAAGACAAUGGUAAUGUCGAGAUUAGGAAGGGUGAUGAGUCGGUCACAUAAAAAAAAAACCUAGGUAUAUUGAUACACAAGAAAUGUUCAUUUUACUAUUCAAUCAUUUAUUAAUCAUUAGCUAAUUUAACUAUACAAUAAAUUAGAUUCAAACACAUAAAUUGCGUGAAGGCAGUAAAAUCAUGAAGGAUAAACCAAGAAAUAUGGCAGCUCAAACACAAAAAUUGAAAGAAAACACUAAUUGUAAGAAGGUUUGACAUAGCUAUAUUCAAAUCAUAAAACAAAAACAAGAUAUUGAAAAAACCAAACAUCAAAAGCCUUCCUCUAUAAAGUGUCAUUCAUCAUGUGUGUUAGUUCUAAAAUCCCUUGUAGAAAUGCAAAUGGAAAACACAGAUACGCGUCAGAUAACUAUGGAUGAAGGUAUUUUUGGUGAACAAUAUGAACAAGACAUUAUCAAAGAGCAACUGAAUGAGUUUUUUGAAAAUACAGAAAUAAGUGUCUCUGUUGUCUGUGUAUAUAUCAGGUACUCCGAAUAGCUUUAAAUUGACCUACAAAUUAUUUUAUUUGUAUGAAUGAAAUAUUUAAUAGUAUCUAAUAUUAUAUUUUCAUUCUAGGUACUUGUAUGAAAAAUUUGUGCACGACAGUGAUUUCACAAGGAAAUUCUCCUUCUUGUCCGCCAUCGCAUAUCCUUGAUGUUAAUUGAAGCAGAACAAGAAUUGGUCAAAGAAUACAUGGUUAAGGAAUUCAUGAAAUAUAAAGAUGAGCACAAGUUAUUUAUUCUACCGUUUUAUAUACAUAUGUCUGGAUAAGAUUUUCCUUGAAACUUUGUUUUUGAUUAUUUUUUUCUCACUUUUUAUCACCGUUUAUAGAAGAUUUUCUAACUUGAACAUUUGUGUAGUGGACAUUGGGUGUUAUUUGUCAUUGAUCUCAUAUCGGAAAUCAUAUAUUAUCUGAAUCCAUUACUCAAUGACUAUAUGAAUUACCCAAAAAUGACGACUAUGUUUCACACGUAAGUGUGUGUGUGGUAUAUAUAUAUUUUUAUCUUGCAUAUUUAUUUUUUCGCAGACUUUAGAAUGUAUAUAUAGGCUAAAUGUAAAUCAUUCAUGUGUGCGUGUGUGGGUGUAUGCUUUAUUUUUAUGCUUCAUAGUUUAGUUGUAAAUAUAAUUCAAUGUGAAUAACCGAAAACCACAAAAAAACAUUUUUUUUUACAAUAAACCUUAAUUCAAAAAUCAAGUGAUCCUUUUUUUAUUUUUUCUUAAUCAAAUGUUUAAUCAAUUUAAUCUUUACCAUGAGUCCAUUUUCUUUAAUAUUAAAAAACACAAACAAAUACUCAUUUGCAACUUUGGCUUUUCUUUCAUUCUAAAACCUUUUUCAAAACUAAUAAAAAACACAAAACAAAUCAAAAGUCAAUUUUUACCCGAAACUACGAGGUUUUGAUCCCUCAUGGGUACGUAGGCAAAGGACCAUGUCCUUCCAAAUCAUAAAUAAUGUAGAUAAAUUAGGUCUCUAUUUUAAUCACUUUAAAUUCUUUUUUUCAAAAGUAAGCAAGUUUAUAGCACGAAAAAUAAAUAAAAUCAAGAGGUUCUCGUAGAGUACUACGAACAUAAAGGGUGCUAAUACCUUCCCUUUAUGUAACCAACCCCCGAACCCAAAAUCUUUUCAACGUGGGGUGGUUUGAACUUUUUUCCCCUUUUCUAAAAAAUUAAAUGUUCAGUCGUGAAAUAAAAAGUGAGUCAAACACUAAUAUAAUAGCCCUGAUCUCCAAAAAAUGACGCGACAAGUAACAUGGUUAUAUUUUAUGUUAUAAUAUAUGGAGUACAUUGACGGUUUCAAAUGUUUGACAUAUUCUAAAGAUAAAUUAAUAGAAAUCCAAGAAAAAUGGUGUUAGUUCAUGAUCAGUCUAAGAGUUAUAUGUUAUUUUUUUGAUAAGGCGAGCUUCAUGUUUCUAAAUAUAUUUGCUAGAAGUGGUAGUGCCUUUAAUCUACAUUAUAAUCUUGCAUUAAUUUGUUAUGAAUAGUGCUGGAAUAAAGAUAGAUAUAUAUAUAUAUAUAUAUAUAUAUAUAUAUAUAUAUAUAUAUAUAUAUAUAUAUAAAGAAGAAUAAGAUGUGUGAGUUGAUAUAUAUUAAGAUGAGUAUUAGCCAUUGAUCCAAGUGUUUGGUUUGCUAUUUGAAAAAUGAAAUAGUAUUUGGUUGUUUCACUUGUUUUGUUUUCUUUAUUUGUUAAGUGAAUAAAUGUUUGGACUACGUAUUCUCGGCAUUUGUACAUGAGUACUUAUUGCUUAAAAUAGUGUUGAUGCUUAUUGCUUAAUGUGUUUUCUGCUAUAUAUGUAGGUGGAGGAGAGUUAACGAAAUUUGGAAAUGAAUAAUGAUCUACCUGCUUGUUAUGGAUAAAAAUGUUGAGACGACCAAGAAGAUAGAUGAAGACUGCAUGCUACCACAAAAGAUUUUGGUCUUUAUGUUAAUUAAUUAGUUGUAACUUAGAGAUAUCCAUGAUUUGUAGCUUCGUUUGUUAGUGGCUACAUUUCAGAUUUUUAUGCUAUAUAUACAUACAUUUUAUGAUAUGUUUAAGUUUUAUUUCACAAAUAAUAGUCUCAAUUAUAAUGUGUCAUAUUUCUCUUAGAUAAAUUAUAUAUAUAUAUAUAUAUAUAUAUAUAUAUAUAUAUUAAUUUAAAUUAAUAAAAACUCUAUUUGUAAAAAUAAAAUAUUAAAAUGCUUUUUCUAACGCUUAUUUAAAUAAAACGUUGUUUAAUCUACACAUUAUAGCAAUGCUUAAUGGAAUAAAGCGCUAUCUAAACCUAUUGUUACAAAGCUGUUUUUAGUAGCACAUAAAGAUAGAAGCGUUAUUUUAAACCUCCUUUAGAUGGCUUGUAUUUCUGUAAAUGCUAUCCAAGGACACCCUUUGAUAGCUAUUUUUAACAAAAAGAGCUAUAUAAACCCUGCUUUAGACAACACUUUAUAAAAAAAACAAGCACUAUAUUACAUUUACCAGCGCCAUUUACCAUAGCGCUUUUAAAGUGCUACAAAUGGUCCGAAAAAUCGCUAUCUAUGACCAUUUUUGGCAUAAUGUCUCCUCUCAUAUUAAUCCUCAUAUUACAUCAUUACUUUUCAAAACUCUAUUUCUUUUAGAAUAAUAUAAUAUUAAAUAAAAGUGCAUCAUCAUAAUCCUAAAUAAGACUCAACCUAUUUUAAUAUUAUUAAAUUAAUUGAUUAAAAAUUUGGGGUNAAUAAUAUAAUAUUAAAUAAAAGUGCAUCAUCAUAAUCCUAAAUAAGACUCAACCUAUUUUAAUAUUAUUAAAUUAAUUGAUUAAAAAUUUGGGGUAUGUACAUGUUCAUCUAGGGAGUCUUCUACAGUGCCUACCAAAUCCAUGUUUCUCUAAUCCGUCGGGUGAAUGGACCAUACGACGCACGAUCGUCAUCAAAAUAUGACAAAAACAAUUAGCGUCUUAUAUGCCUUAGGGAGUGGGGUUACCUUCUACUCGGAGAACUCCUAGGAGAUCUUAUUUUUGGAGAAUGUCUAGGAGAACUUAUGUUCAGAGAAUGUCAAGGGGACCUGGAUCUUGAUGGAAGGGUAUUCCUUCCCAUGCUGCUAAGAUGUGGGGAAGGAGGUCGAAAAAUUGAACGAGGAUAUGGUGAUCUCCUCAGUAAUCCUUGGAGUGGGGAUCCUUCAUUUAUUUGAUUUGUCGGUUCUGAUCCUUAAUCAUAUAAUUUUUGCGGUGUAGGGUUUGAAGGAUGUUGUUGAACAUGACAUCUACGGGAGAUGUGUUGCUUGCUUCCUUGUUUGGCCACGAGGGGACAAUUAGUGGAGCCUCUCGAAGGGAACUCGCCAUUGAUGGGACACGAUGGUGCACUCGUCAGUUGGUGAGGGAGUUAAUGUUUGACCGUCACGUUGUGGACGGUGGAUCUCACUCUUGGGAUGCUGCAACGUUGGCCAUCGUAAGAGUAGGUUCCUUUUAGGAAAUUUAUGAAGAUUUGGUCUUUUAAGUAGGAAAAUACGAUACCACUAAUUGUACCUUAUAAGAUGAUGACGUAUGAUGCAGUAGUCUUUGGCUGUUUGUGAGAUUUAAAACGACCAGGGGGGUGUACAUGCAAACACUCUUACGCUCAAGUAAGUUUAAGAUGGUUAGAGAUAGAAAUGGUAUCAUACCUUUGGGGAUUGUGUAAAGUCAUCUUCUAUAAAGGUGACGGGCAUGAGUCGUUGUAAGGCACAAUGAGGCAUCUGACGGUUACAAAUUUCCAGGAAUCGUUAUCGUCGAGCGAGAAUCGUGGGCAUGUUCUACAUUCAGUUUGAAUGUGUCUUACACCCUCCUCGCAGAGAGAGGGUGUGUGUCGGAAGUAAUCGACCAAAAUGCAAGAUUGGGCCUGUUUUGGUUAGGGCAUGUACAAAUAAGCAUUACACAACUGCUCAGUCCGGAACAUAUUUAAUAUAAAAAGAUCAAUAAAAAAUGAGGCAUGCUCUAAGGAAUCAAUUCUAAAUGACGUGAAAUCUUAGCAAUGUACAUUUAGUUGAACCUAAAUACAUGAAAACUAUCAUGCAAAUUCAAGCUUCGAACUUGAAGAAAUCCAUAAAAGAAUAAUGUAUUGUGAUUAGCAAAGCACAAUCACACACAUCUCGAUUGUUCGAUUAAGGAUGAUCCAAUUCUUAAAAAAAUUAUUAUUUAAUAUAAAACUAGAGUUCGUAAAGUAGACUGUCCAAAAUCAAGAUGUAGUGAUUGUGUGCAAUCAUAUAAUCGUGACUACACCUAAUCUUGAUGUAACAAUCAUAGCUUAUUACCCCAUCGCUUCCUUAAUAUAAGAAGAAAACCCAAAAAAUUUCAAAACUAAGGCAAUCAUUAAUUGUUGUAACUUUUUAAAUAUUUUUACAAAUAUACUAUUAUAAAAAAUCUUUUACGUAAUAAAUACACCAUAAAAGUUAUGACUUUUUUUAUAAAUAGAAUCAAUUUUUUUUUUUGAAAAAUUUCUUACUAGAGAGAGUAAUUUUGUUUAACAAUAAAGGUUAGUUGUUACUCAAAUGUGCACAAGUUGAUCCGAUAAUAACGUAAAAACAACUUACAAGACAUGAAGUCAAAUAUGUAUUUAAAAAGAUAAAAAUAUAAUUAACGUGUGCACAAAAAUAAUCUUGACGAAUGCCUUUUACCCUUUUGUGAUUUCAGUUGGACAUUUUUAUUACUAAAGUAUAAUAGAAUAUUUUUUUUGACAAAAACAUAAUAAUAUAAAUUGAUGACCCUGUUCAAAAAAAAUAUAAAUUGAUGACCUCAACGCAAAAUAUUCUUAGGUGUUUUUCUAUAAAUAGUUGUUUCACUCUUUCCAGUGUGUCAAUCAAAAUUUGAUCAAAAUAUGAGCUCUAAAUAUUCAUUAGUAUUACUUUUACUUGGAAUGAUAAUGCUCACCACUGUGAUUGGUGAAAGGAAUGAUAAUAAAUUUGAAUAUGAUCCUAUGUUAGAUCCAGAAGAUGAUUGGCCAGAGAUUUUUAAUGAACCGCUACCAUCCUACUAUAAAAUACCUAAAGAGGAGUCACCUGAUUAUGAGACAAACUUGUCAAAUGAAGCCAUCAACCACACCGUUUGAGCCAGUCCACAUUGCAAAAAUUCCUUACCAUUACAAGUGAUCGAAGUGGCAAAAGUGGGUCUAGUAAAAUAAUAAGAAAAAUUGUUUGUCAUAUGAAGUUUUCUUUUCUUUAUUUUUUUUUCUUCCUAUUUACCUCAAAAAUUCUAUUUUUCAAGUAGUGAAGUACAAUUUGCCCCUUUAUUUGAUUAAAGGCUCAAUAAACAUGUAUAUGUAUAAUAAUUACCUCUCAUUUUAGCAUAAAUAAUGUCAACUACUAAAAGUAUUAUCUAUGAUUACCACAAUAAUGCCAAUUUGGCUUGAUAUAUACUCCAUCUAUUUUUCCUCAGAAAAUAUACUCAAUCUAUUUCCAAUUUUAUUGUCAUUUUUAUAAUUUUUCUUUGUCUCAAUAUUUUUUUUAGAUUUUUCUUAAAAUAAUUGUCACUUUAUAAUAUCUAUGUCAUUUCCGGUUUUCGCCCCUAUAAAAUUUUCGGUUUGAUUUGCACUUUUGUAAAUUUUUUAUUUUCCGGAAAACACCCUUAAUAGGCCAUUCAAAAAUCAAAAUUUUUUGCAAAAAAAAUUCUGAAAAUGGCAUAUUAGGGUGUUUUCUGGAAAAUAAAAUUUUUACGAGGGUGCAAAUCAAACCGAAAAUUUUAUAGAGGUGAAAACCAAAAAUGACAUAUAUUACAGGGGUGAAAAACACUAUUAACCCUUAUUUUUUUCAUUGAUAAAUCUUUAUUUUUUGAAUUUCACCAAACUUAACUACUACAAUUAUUAAAAGUGUUUUGAUAUAUGAUACUACUUUUAUCAUUGAGAGCAAUGAGACAACCUAAAAACAACAAUUAAAAUGAGACAAAUGAUAAAAAUUAAAAUUUAUUGAUUAAACUUAUCCGACAUUCUGACUUUAAAAUUUAUUGAACCAUCACGAGUUUACAUAAGGUUGGAUCAACUCAAUGACCUGAACUUGAUCUGUUCGGUGAGAACGGUUGAGUCGCAACGGUUGUGAAGAAUGGUCCCAUGAUCGGUAACGACUUCCAGUGCGGUGGCGUAGCAUCUUAUGUGAUGGAACGAAAGGUGCCUGCAGACACGUUUGAAUUCCGACAAUCAAGUCAGUAAUGGAACUGAGAGAAAAGUUUUAGAAGUGUAGUGAAAAGUGUUGUGUACCUUGAGGGUAAAGCAAGUACACCCUUAUAUAGGCCCGCUCUUGGCAUGACCGUCUCCGGGUUAUGCGGCAUAUGAUUAAGAGCGGGAGUGGACAUGUGUAGCGUGAUCCCGACAGGGAAGCAUGGUCCAAUGUGGCAUGCCGCAGGCGAAUUGGCGUGCUCCUUUGAGUGCGAAGCCUUGAGACUGCGUAAUAUUGCACAUUUGUUGCCGUGUGAGUGGUCUAGAACUGAGCUAUUUUAUUUUUAAAUUCAUCUUUUUUUCAUGAUAGAGGGCUAAGUGAUUUGGUGUAGUUUCGGAGAAGAUCAUAUCUAUACUAUAUAUAAAGAAAACUACCUCUUUCAGCUCUUUUGGGUUGGAUUUUCUUUCCAAAAAUUCCCUCAAUUUUCAAUACAAAUAACACAUGUAACAAAUAGAUCAAAAUAAAUUUAAAUAUUAAAAUAAAAGUGUAACAAACAUAAAUGUUCAAUUUUUUACUUUAUCAUUUAAAAAGUGUAACAAACUAGAUGAGUGUAUCCAUACUUAUUUUUUCAUUAUCCCAAUUACAUUCCCUUAAACAACAACUUUUUCUAUUCUCUAAAAAAACAACUUUUUCUAUAAUAAAGAUUGUUGUUGGUUUCAUUAAAUAAAUACUCCAUCCGUUCCUUUUUAAGUGUCACUUUUGCAGAAAUUUUUUGUUCCUAUUUAACUGGCACUUUCAAAGUUCAAUGCAACAUUAAAUGUUGUUUUACCAAUAUUAUCCUUAGUUAUUUAUUGCGGAGAGAGAAAUAUAUGAAAUGAGAUAUUAAAUGAAUAAGAUCAUUAUAGUAAAAGUAUAGCUUAUUGCAUUAAAAGGAAUAUCAAUUGUUGAUUGUCUUGAUUUCGUAACUCGCGAAGCGUAUUACGAAAUGUGCAUCACAGGAUCCUGAGGAAUUGACCUAUGUUCAGUCUCGUAUUAACCCCCGUCACGCACUAUGAUAUCAUCCUUUAACGAUAUCAUCAACAUAUAUAUUAUAUCAUCAACAUAUAUAUGAACAAUUAAAAUUUCAUCCUUUAAUAAUUUUCAAAAGAGUGUGAUGUCAACUUGAUCUUGUGAAAACCGUUUUCUAAAAUAAUGUUACUAGGGUCUUUCAUACCAAGCUAUGGCAGCUUGUUCCAGAUUAUACAAUGAAAUCUUCAAACUCAGGAAGUUGUUUCAUACACUUCUUCAGAAAUGAUACCUAUAAAAUACGAACUUAUAAAAUCCACUUGAUAUAGAAUGAUAUCAUUAUUUACAACACAUGAUAAUAAUAGACUAAUUGCUUAUAAUUUUGCUACAUGUGCAAAUGUUUCAGCGAAAUCUAUCUCUUCUUGCUGACUAUUUCCUUGUACUACUAGUCUAGCUUUAAUUUUUACUAUAUCAUUUUGUUUAUUGAGCUUGUUUCUGAAAACCCACUUUAUGACAAUGACAUUAUUACCUUUUGAUCUUGGAACUAUUUCUCAAACAUCAUUUCACUUUGAUAAUUGUGCCCUACAAAAUUCCACUAGUCUUUUUAUGACUUCCGAUCAUAACAAGUAGUAUUUACUAUUUUUACAGAGGCUUUUGUGUCAGUUAUUUAGUUUGCUUGAUGCUUGUUUAAGAGUUAUUUUGAAUAAAUGGUUCUUAUGUUACAUAAGGUUUUUAAAAUUUUAUCUUCUUAAUUAACCUUAUAUUUUACCGUAUCCUCAUUGUGUUUAUUAGGUUUAGAGCUAAAAUAAUUUUUGUUUAAAAAAUAACAUGAACUCUAUGUGAUAUUUUAUUUUUUAAUGAUAUCUUGAGCUGUAGGUAACCAAAUGGAGUCAAACUAUUUCCGAAUGAAAUCUAACAUUAAUUGAUACAAGUUUUCAUAAAUAUACUAAAGUCGAAUUCGGCUUGUAAAAUGGUAAAAAAUGUAAAGGAUCUGAAUACAAAAAAGGAAACAAAGAAGAAGUGGAGAUUCAAUCCCCUCAUGUGUAAUUUUAUAUUUUCCUUUCUAAGUCUGAGUAGCUAACUUUUCUUCAGAUUGAAACUCUUGAUUAGUGAUGUCAAUUUUCUAGCAAGGGUUAGUUCGUUGGCAAGUAGUCAAAUAUAUAAAUUUCUUAACCUAAAGGUUUGCAAUACUUCAACUUGACUGCUACGAUUAUGAUUAAGAUAUGUAAGAGAUAUUAUGAUUAAGAUAUGUAGUUUGGGGGGGGGGGAUUAAAAGGCGACGAGGUCAUAUCAUAUUCCCUUGAUUGAUUGCUCAAUUUUAAGACAUCUGAUCGAAUUAGUCAGGCCAGUGUCUUGGUAACUAACACUCUUCAAUAGUUAUGACUCCCUAAUGUCUUAGGUUAGUCUAUAACCAUUGAAGGAUUAGUAAUGCCAAAUUAAGUACAUAAAUCAUUAUUAGAAAAUUUCUAAAGCUAAUAACAACUGAAUGAUUAAAUUAGGUCAAGCCAUUAACGUUAGGGUUAGUAACCACCAAGACCUAAAUCAAUUUAUAAACAUUUAUAAAUGCAUAAAAAAACAUUAAGGAUAAACUCAACCAAUAAAAUAACAAAGUAGACAACUGAAGUCAUAUGAUAAUGUAAAGUUACAAAAUCAAACGAUUACAGAGAAGUUCCUCUUUUAUGACCUAACCCCGAUAGAAUUAGUUACUCGUUAUUUCUAAACAUAAACUACUGCAUAUGAAUAAGAAAACAUGAGAAAAGGAUCACCAGUUGAUGAAUCCAUGGCUCUCAAAUGGAUCUGAUCGCUCCGAUAAUAUGCUAAAAUCGUGUUUCUGCCUUCAUAUUCUCAUCAAAAAGUGUUUUUUCACUGACCAAGGUGUUUGCCUUAUAUAGGUGCGUAUUUUCCUUAAAAUUAGUGAAAGUUGGCCCGCGAUGUUAGCAUAUAAAUUGCGAUGUUAGUUAAACAUAGAGUGAACACCUUGCAUGUCAUUCAUAUCUCACGAUGUGGAGGUUAUAGCCUGCAAUACGAGAUAGAUAGUGGCUGAAUCUUACAAAUUCCAUUUUGAUUCUACAAAUGACUUAAAACUUCUAUAUAAUUUCAUAUCAUCAAUGAUCCUCUUAGAAUCUAAUUGAGUUAUUUUAUUUAUGAGUUCUAGUUUAUGCAAUUGAUACCCAUGUACAUUCAAUAAUUCUUGUUAUUUAAUUGUGAUCUUACCAAUAUUGAAUUGAACCUAAGGUAUUUAAUUAUGGAUAAUUGGUUGUUUUGGUUGUUUGUAUGACUCUAUGUUUGUAAAGUAGUUCUUUUGGCACACCUUAUGCUAGAGGAGUUGCUUUUGGUGGUUAAUAUAUAUUCCAUUUUUGAUUGUUAAAAAAAAGUUAUUGUUCGCUAAGUAAUUGUCUUAGAGAUAUCAUAUCAUUUAGCUGUGACAAAAUUUAGUUGCCGAUCAUGCUUUUGAUGUUAGAUACGCGAGACCUGGCUUGAGUAAAAAAAAUUGGUUUUGCUAUAUUUUGCUAAAUUGUCGGAAACAUAAUCAAUUGUUACGGCUAGUACCACUAUUACCAAAUAGUAACAAAGAGGGGUUAUUGCCAUCAGUUGUUUCAUUUAAUUUACCUAAUUAAGUGGAACAUAAUUGCCAUGGUUUAGAACUGGGGUUAUUGCUUUAGGUUUUUCAAACGGUUUUUAAAGUCUCCUUAUUGGAGAUGCUUUCUCUAAGGUACAUUAGUUCGGCAUAAAACAUGAUGAAAUUCAUAAAACAUUAACGGAUAAGAUUAGUGUUGUGUAAUCAUUGAGACGAUCCAGAUUUUAAAACCUUACCUUUUAAUCCAAAAUUAGAUUUUAGAUAUGGAUCGUCCGAAACCGAGAUGUUAUAAUUGCGUGCAAUCAUAAGAUCAUGACAACACCUAACCCUAAUCUAAUAAACACCAAGAAUGAUAUAUAUAUAUAUAUAUAUAUAUAUAUAUAUAUAUAUAUAAUACCGUUUUUGCUUAUAAAUAGGAACCAAGGGAUAAGAUAUGGAUUUUUUUUUUUUUUGAGGGAGGAUAAGAUAUAGAGUUAAACAUGUAUAAAAUGGUAGAAAUGUGCACAAAAAUAAUCGCAACAAAUGCACACUACCCUUUUGUGACCUCAUUUGGACCAUUUUUAUUACUAAAGUAUAAAAUAUGAUAAAUAAUUUAAGUUGACGUGCUCAACAUUAAAUAUUCUCAAGGGUUUUCUUAUAAAUAGUUGUCUCACCCUUUCCAUUUGUGUGAAUUAAAAUCUAUAAAAACAUGGCCUCUAAAUACUCACAAGUAUUAUUACUUCUACUUGGAAUGAUGGUUCUUACUACUGUAGUGAGUUAUGGGCAUAAUAAAUUUGGGUAUGCGCCAAUGUUAGAUCUAGAGGAGGAUUGGCCAGACCAAUUCUUUCCACCACUUACCAUAAUUGAGGGUCGAAAGUCGCAUAGUUUUGGAUAUCCACCUAUAUUAGAUCCAGAAGAAGAUUGACCUAAUAACUAAUGAGAAAUCAUUUGUUUAUAAGCCAGUCCACAUUUCAAAGCUGUUGUAAGUACAAUUCUUUAUCAAAUGAGUGUUUUUUUCUUCCCACUUUUGUAUAAAACUCUAAUUUUUAAGAAGUGAUGUACUAUUUGAAUAAAGGCUCUAUAAAUAUUUCUAUGUAUAUUAUAUCUCAUUUCAGCAACAAUAAUGCCUAUUACUAGUGGUUUUACCUAUGAUUAAUAUUUUGUUAUUGUCUACAAUUUAAUUAUUCAUUAUGUGAUAACUAAUCAAUAAUAUUUUUUUUGUCAAAAAAUAAUCAAUAAUAUUUGAACAUUCAUCAUUUCAAUACACUCAUUCAACAAAAUAUUUUCUUUUUGUCUAUAUUUUACAAUCACAUCAUCGAUAUAUCACCAAAAUAUUAUAUUUAACUUAUCACAAUAUUUUUUUUUUCAAGAUAUCCUAGUAAGAACGGAUAUAUCCAAAAACAUUUUUUAUAUUAAAAACCCAAAGAAAAAGAUCAAUUAGAUAACAGCUGUACGUCACAUGUUCUAGAACUAUAAACAUAAAAAUAUUCAAAUUAGUUAUGUGUAUCUAGAACAAAAGAUCCAUCUCCUUUUCUUAGACCAUCGAUAAGAUAAUCCUACCGUGGAGUAGAAAAUUUGAGAUUAAAUUGUAACAUCCUGAUUUUUAAUAUUAACCUGUUAAUAUAAUUAUUGGAUAAUAUUAGUAUUAUUGUCAUUAUUAGUAUUGAUUGCUCGAUAUUAUGAAAUUAAAUUAUUCGUGAUUAUAGGUGAUGUUAUGAAUAAUGAGGAAGUAGAGGAGUUAACUAGUUGGUUAAAGAAUGAGAGAAAAUAAUUUUUUUGGAAGAAAAUAGUGUUUUUGGUAAGAAUAAGGAAGUAGAAUGCAAACAGAGAUGCAUUAGUAAAAUUGGAUAGAAAAGAGGUGGAAGUAGCAAAGUGAUGGACAAAAUUGGCAAGUACACCAAAUUAUAACAAGUAGUAAGUUGUAUCGUUCUUCACAAAGAUUGUCGUUCAACUCAAUAUAUAAUUUGCAAAACUUAUUUUAACACGGAAAAUAGUAAUGAUGGUUAGAAUUGCAGGGUUUAAUUGCCCGACCCAAUGCAAGAUUAGGUUUGUGUGAUUCAGAUGUGUAAUAGUGAUUAGGGAAUCCGUGAAUCCCAUCUUCCUUCUUUGUUGGAUCAAUUCAAAGUCCUUAUUAAUUAAGACCUAAAAACUACAUAAACAAAGAACAAUAAUGAACAAAGUACUCCCAUGAACAAUUAUGAAUAAAUAAGAAAUAAGUACUCCCAUGAACGAAUAAUUUCAGGUUGUCAAUCAUACUAAUCUUCUAUGAAUCAAUUUUUAGGAUUACCUAUACAUAUUUUCAAUUGAAAAAUAAUUACGAACAGACUAGUACAAAUUAAAUCGGACACCAGAAUAUAACUGAAUGAAAACUUUAUUAGUUGAAUCUAACAAAUAAGAAGGGGUUCAUAGUUGAACCCUAAUCAAGAGGUUUAUUUGCUCAUGGAAACAUACAUCAUAACAAAACAAAAUAAAAACAUACCCUAGGAAGAGUACAAGGAGGAGAAAUUCCUCCUUGAAUCUAUGAUGCUUGACCCUUGCUCUAAACCGUCAAUGUUUCUGAAUGAAUAAAAUAGUGUGCAAGGAUCUCUAUUUAUAACGUAAGGUUGCUUAGGAUUUAAUUCGAGAAAACUAGGAUUUUCUACCGAUCCAUGUAUGCCUGGGUCUUCUGGGUUUAUUUCUGAAGGAAUUUCCCUUCUUUAGUCCCAUGCACUUUGGGUUUUGUUGCUCAGAUUUGUUCAAGACCUUUGGAUUGGAGGAUAAUCUUGAAUACUCUUUGAACUAAAAUUUGAGUCCCGGCUGGCCAUGAAUCUGAAAGUCCUUUGUUUUGACUUAGUCAACACCUUGGAUCUUGACUCUCUUGUCUCUGAUGGGUUUCGAUUCUCUGCUUUUUCAGCAUUUGGAUUUGAGUAAAAGAGCAGACCCUUUUGAGUGCAAACAGAACAUGAUAAUUGUUUUGUCUUGACAAGAGUAUGUGUAUCCCUAACAGACGCACUUGUGAAGUCAAUUUCUCUCCCUUUUUUCUUACUAAUAUUGUGAGGGGUUAAUAGAUCUUUACCCCCCUGUAAUAUAUGUCAUUUCCGGGUUUCCCCCCUGUAAAAUUAUUUUUUUGAUUUACCCCCUUGUAAUUUUUUUUUGUUUUGAUUUACCCCCCUAAUAGGCCAAACAAAAACGAAAAUUUCUUGAAAAAAAAUAAAAUUAGUUUUUGUUUGGCCUAUUAGGGGGGUAAAACAAAACAAAAAAAAAAUUGCAGGGGGGUAAAUCAAAAAAAUAAUUUUACAGGGUGGAAAACCGGAAAUGACCUAUAUUACAGGGGGGUAAAAACCUAUUAACCCUAUUGUGAGAUAUGGAAGCUAAUCUACUUCUGUCAAAAUCAUAAUCACUAGAUUCUUCAGAUGAACUAUUGAAUUUAGUUGAAAGUAUGUCGAUUUCAUCUGGGGUUAAAAGUUGCCUUAGCAUGAGAUUUUGUCUUGAUAGAUAGUGAUUUUGGCGUCUCAAAGGUUUUAACUCUUCUGAUAAAAAAUUAAAUUGUUUUUGCAAGUCCUUUAAGGAUCUUGAUUUGUUCAGAUAGAGUCUUAGAAGCCUUCUGACAUAAGGAAUAUACCCAUUACAGAUUUGUUCAAAGAUUACCUCAUCAUCCUUAUCUGAAUAUGAGCUUGGUUCUUCACCAGAAGAUGUUUUAACUACUAAACCCAUAUUAGCUUCCUCUUUGUUGUCCUCAGAGUCUGUAUCUUCAUCAAGCAUCUUCCAGGUUUCCAUGAAGAUUUCCUUGAGCUUUCACUUGUAGGUUUCCCUAUGCUGAUUUUCCCUAAUGCGCCUCAGGGAAAUCAGCUAUGAAGUGACCAUUCUUUCCACAGUUGAAGCAUCCUUUUUUAUUAUCUCUUUUGUCUGUGAAGUGGGAUGUCUUUAAGUCACUGCUUCUGCUAAAUGCUAUCUAAGGACACCCUUUGAUAGCUAUUUUUAACAAAAAGUGCUAUAUAAACCCUGCUUUAGACAACAGUUUAUAAAGAAAACAAGCACUAUAUUACAUUUACCAGCGUCAUUUACCAUAGCGCUUUUAAAGUGCUAUAAAUGGUCCGAAAAAUCACUAUCUAUGACCAUUUUUUGCAUAAUGUCUCCUCUCAUAUUAAUCCUCAUAUUACAUCAUUACUUAUCAUAACUCUAUUUCUUUUAAAAUAAUAUAAUAUUAAAUAAAAGUGCAUCAUCAUAAUCCUAAAUAAGACUCAACCUAUUUUAAUAUUAUUAAAUUAAUUGAUUAAAAAUUUGGGGUUUGUACAUGUUCAUCUAGGGAGUCUUCUACAGUGCCUACCAAAUCCAUGUUUCUCUAAUCCGUCGGGUGAAUGGACCAUACGACGCACGAUCGUCAUCAAAAUAUGACAAAGACAAUUAGCGUCUUAUAUGCCUUGGGGAGUGGGGUUACCUUCUACUCGGAGAACUCCUAGGAGAUCUUAUUUUUGGAGAAUGUCUAGGAGAUCUUAUGUUCAGAGAAUGUCUAGGGGACCUGGAUCUUGAUGGAAGGGUAUUCCUUCCCAUGCUGCUAUGAUGUGGGGAAGGAGGUCGAAUAAUUGAACGAGGAUAUGGUGAUCUCCUCAGUAAUCCUUGGAGUGGGGAUCCUUCAUUUCUUUGAUUUGUCGGUUCUGAUCCUUAAUCAUAUAAUUUUUGCGGUGUAGGGUUUGAAGGAUGUUGUUGAACAUGACAUCUACGGGAGAUGUGUUGCUUGCUUCCUUGUUUGGCCGCGAGGGGACAAUUAGUGGAGCCUCUCGAAGGGAACUCGCCAUUGAUGGGACACGAUGGUGCACUCGUCAGUUGGUGAGGGAGUUAAUGUUUGACCGUCACGUUGUGGACGGUGGAUCUCACUCUUGGGAUGCUGCACCGUUGGCCAUCGUAAGAGUAGGUUCCUUUUAGGAAAUUUAUGAAGAUUUGGUCUUUUAAGUAGGAAAAUACGAUACCACUAAUUGUACCUUAUAAGAUGAUGACGUAUGAUGCAGUAGUCUUUGGCUGUUUGUGAGAUUUAAAACGACCAGGGGGGUGUACAUGCAAACACUCUUACGCUCAAGUAAGUUUAAGAUGGUUAGAGAUAGAAAUGGUAUCAUACCUUUGGGGAUUGUGUAAAGUCCUCUUAUAUAAAGGUGACGGGCAUGAGUCGUUGUAAGGCACAAUGAGGCAUCUGACGGUUACAAAUUUCCAGGAAUCGUUAUCGUCGAGCGAGAAUCGUGGGCAUGUUCUACAUUCAGUUUGAAUGUGUCUUACACCCUCCUCGCAGAGAGAGGGUGUGUGUCGGAAGUAAUCGACCCAAAUGCAAGAUUGGGCCUGUUUUGGUUCGGGCAUGUACAAAUAAGCAUUACACAACUGCUCAGUCCGGAACAUAUUUAAUAUAAAAAGAUCAAUAAAAAAUGAGGCAUGCUCUAAGGAAUCAAUUCUAAAUGACGUGAAAUCUUAGCAAUGUACAUUUAGUUGAACCUAAAUACAUGAAAACUAUCAUGCAAAUUCAAGCUUCGAACUUGAAGAAAUCCAUAAAAGAAUAAUGUAUUGUGAUUAGCAAAGCACAAUCACAUACAUCUCGAUUGUUCGAUCAAGGAUGAUCCAGUUCUUAAAAAAAAUUACUAUUUAAUAUAAAACUAGAGUUCGUAAAGUAGACUGCCCAAAACCAAGAUGUAGUGAUUGUGUGCAAUCAUAUAAUCGUGACUACACCUAAUCUUGAUGUAACAAUCAUAGCUUAUUACCCCAUCCCGUCCUUAAUAUAAGAAGAAAACCCAAAAAAUUUUAAAACUAAGACAAUCAUUAAUUGUUGUAACUUUUUAAAUAUUUUUACAAAUAUACAAUCAUAAUCUUUUACGUAAUAAAUACACCAUAAAAGUUAUGACUUUUUUUAUAAAUAGAAUCAAUUUUUUUUUGAAAAAUUUCAUACUGGAGGGAGAAAUUUUGUUUAACAAUAAAGGUUAGUUGUUACUCAAAUGUGCACAAGUUGAUCCGAUAAUAACGUGAAAACAACAUACAAGACAUGAAGUUAAAUAUGUAUUUAAAAAGAUAAAAAUAUAAUUAAUGUGUGCACAAAAAUAAUCCCGACGAAUGCCUUUUACCCUUUUGUGACUUCAGUUGGACAUUUUUAUUACUAAAGUAUAAUAGAUAAUUUUUUUGACAAAAGCAUAAUAAUAUAAAUUGAUGACCCUGUUCAAAAAAAAUAUAAAUUGAUGACCUCAACACAAAAUAUUCUUAGGUGUUUUCCUAUAAAUAGUUGUUUCACUCUUUCCAGUGUGUCAAUCAAAAUUCGAUCAAAAUAUGAGCUCUAAAUAUUCAUUAGUAUUACUUUUACUUGGAAUGAUAAUGCUUACCACUGUGAUUGGUGAAAGGAAUAAUAAUAAAUUUGAAUAUGAUCCUAUGUUAGAUCCAGAAGAUUAUUGGCCAGAGAUUUUUCAUGAACCACUACCAUCCCACUAUAAAAUACCUAAAGAGGAGUUACCUGAUUAUGAGACAAACUAGUCAAAUGAAGCCAUCAACCACACCGUUUGAGCCAGUCCACAUUGCAAAAAUUUCUUAUCAUUACAAGUGAUCGAAGUGGCAAAAGUGGGUCUAGUAAAAUAAUAAGAAUAAUUGUUUGUUAUAUGAAGUUUUCUUUUCUUUAUUUUUUUCUUCCUAUUUACCUUUAAAAUUCUAUUUUUUUAAGUAAUGAAGUACAAUUUGCCCCUUUAUUUGAUUAAAGGCUCAAUAAACAUGUAUAUGUAUAAUAAUUACCUCUUAUUUCAGCAUAAAUAAUGUCAACUACUAAAAAUUUUAUCUAUGAUUACAACAAUAAUGCCAAUUUGGUUUGAUAUAUACUCCAUCUAUUUUUCCUCAAAAAAUAUACUCAAUCUAUUUCCAAUUUAAUUGUCAUUUUUAUAAUUUUUCUUUGUCUCAAUAUGACUAAGAGCGGGAGUGGACAUGUGUAGCGUGAUCCCGACAGGGAGGCAUGCUCCAAUGUGGAACGACGCAGGCGAAUUGGCGUGCUCCUUUGAGUGCGAAGCCUUGAGGCUGCGUAAUAUUGCACAUUUGUAGCCGUGUGAGUGGUCUAGAACUGAGCUAUUUUAUUUUUAAAUUCAUCUUCUUUUUCAUGAUAGAGGGCUAAGUGAUUUGGUGUAGUUUCGGAGAAUAUCAUAUCUAUACUAUAUGUAAAGAAAACUACCCCUUUCAGCUCUUUUGGGUUGGAUUUUUCUUUGCGGAAAUGCUCUCAAUUUUCAAUACAAAUAACACAUGUAACAAAUAGAUAAGAAUAGAUUUAAAUAUUUAUACUAUAUAUAAAGAAAACUACCCCUUUUAGCUCUUUUGGGUUGAAUUUUUCUUUCCAAAAAUUCCCUCAAUUUUCAAUACAAAUAACACAUGUAACAAAUAUAUAAAAAUAAAUUUAAAUAUUAAAAUAAAAGUGUAACAAACAUAAAUGUUCAAUUUUUUACUUUAUCAUUUAAAAAGUGUAACAAACUAGAUGAGUGUAUCCAUACUUAUUUUUUCAUUAUCCCAAUUACAUGCCCUUAAACAACAACUUUUUCUAUUCUCUAAAAAAACAACUUUUUCUAUAAUAAAGAUUGUUGUUGGUUUCAUUAAAUAAAUACUCCAUCCGUUCCUUUUUAAGUGUCACUUUUGCAGAAAUUUUUUGUUCCUAUUUAACUGGCACUUUCAAAGUUCAAUGCAACAUUAAAUGUUGUUUUACCAAUAUUAUCCUUAGUUAUUUAUUGCGGAGAGAGAAAUAUAUGAAAUGAGAUAUUAAAUGAAUAAGAUCAUUAUAGUAAAAGUAUAGCUUAUUGCAUUAAAAGGAAUAUCAAUUGUUGAUUGUCUUGAUUUCGUAACUCGCGAAGCGUAUUACGAAAUGUGCAUCACAGGAUCCUGAGGAAUUGACCUAUGUUCAGUCUCGUAUUAACCCCCGUCACGCACUAUGAUAUCAUCCUUUAACGAUAUCAUCAACAUAUAUAUUAUAUCAUCAACAUAUAUAUGAACAAUUAAAAUUUCAUCCUUUAAUAAUUUUCAAAAGAGUGUGAUGUCAACUUGAUCUUGUGAAAACCGUUUUCUAAAAUAAUGUUACUAGGGUCUUUCAUACCAAGCUAUGGCAGCUUGUUCCAGAUUAUACAAUGAAAUCUUCAAACUCAGGAAGUUGUUUCAUACACUUCUUCAGAAAUGAUACCUAUAAAAUACGAACUUAUAAAAUCCACUUGAUAUAGAAUGAUAUCAUUAUUUACAACACAUGAUAAUAAUAGACUAAUUGCUUAUAAUUUUGCUACAUGUGCAAAUGUUUCAGCGAAAUCUAUCUCUUCUUGCUGACUAUUUCCUUGUACUACUAGUCUAGCUUUAAUUUUUACUAUAUCAUUUUGUUUAUUGAGCUUGUUUCUGAAAACCCACUUUAUGACAAUGACAUUAUUACCUUUUGAUCUUGGAACUAUUUCUCAAACAUCAUUUCACUUUGAUAAUUGUGCCCUACAAAAUUCCACUAGUCUUUUUAUGACUUCCGAUCAUAACAAGUAGUAUUUACUAUUUUUACAGAGGCUUUUGUGUCAGNGGGGGGGGGGUGGAUUAAAAGGCGACGAGGUCAUAUCAUAUUCCCUUGAUUGAUUGCUCGAUUUUAAGACAUCUGAUCAAAUUAGUUAGGCCAGUGUCUUGGUAACUGUUAAGAAUCAUGGAAUCAUAGGGAGAAAAGUCAUAGAUGUAAGCGAGAUAGCAAGCAUAAGAGUACUCAUGUGGGAGAUACUCAUAGAAACUCAUUGUAGAAAUGAAUAGAUUGAUAAAAAGAUAUUGAAUGAGUACAAUAGUGUUCCUAUAUAUAAGAGAUUAGUUUGAGUAACUAACUCUAACUAACUUCUAACCAAACUACUAACUCUAGUUUACUUAUCAACUAACUAUAGUUGAUUACAAUUACUCUAGUCUAACUACCUUAACUAACUACACAUAACUUCCAACUAUUUUAACAGUAACUAACACUCUUCAAUAGUUAUGACUCCUUAAUGUCUUAGGUUAGUCUAUAACCAUUGAAGGAUUAGUAACGCCAAAUUAAGCACAUAAAUCAAUAUUAGAAAAUUUCUAAAGCUAAUAACAACUAAACGAUUAAAUUAAAUUAGGUCAAGCCAUUAAAGUCAGGGUUAGUAACCACCAAGACCUAAAUCAAUUUAUAAACAUUUAUAAAUGCAUAAAAAAGCAUUAAGGAUAAACUCAACCAAUAAAAUAAUAAAGUAGACAACUGAAGUCAUAGGAUAAUUUAAAGUUACAAAAUCAAACGAUUACAGAGAAGUUCCUCUUUUAUGACCCAACCCCGAUAGAAUUAGUUACUCGUUAUUUCUAAACAUAAACUACUGCAUAUGAAUAAGAAAGCAUGAGAAAAGGAUCAUCAGUUGAUGAAUCCAUGGCUCUCAAAUGGAUCUGAUCGCUCCUAAUAUACCAAAAUCGUGUUUCUGCCUUCAUAUUCUCAUCAAAAAGUGUUUUUUCACUGACCUAGGUGUUUGCCUUAUAUAGGCACGUAUUUUCCUUAAAAUUAGUGAAAGUUGGCCCGCGAUGUUAGUUAAACAUAGAGUGAACACCUUGCAUGUCAUUUAUAUCUCACGAUGUGGAGGUUAUAGCCUGCAAUACGAGAUAGAUAGUGGUUGAAUCUUACAAAUUCCAUUUUGAUUUUACAAAUGACUUAAAACUUCUAUCUAAUUUCAUAUCAUCAAUGAUCCUCUUAGAAUCUAAUUGAGUUAUUUUAUUUAUGAGUUCUAGUUUAUGCAAUUGAUACCCAUGUACAUUCGAUAAUUCUUGUUAUUUAAUUGUGAUCUUACCAAUAUUGAAUUGAACCUAAGGUAUAAUUCACUACCAGCCCUAAAUUUGUAUCUGGAUAAUGGUUUGUUUUGGUUGUUUGUAUGACUCUAUGUUUGUAAAAUAGUUCUUUUGGCACACCUUGUACUAGAGGAGUUGCUUUUGGUGGUUAAUAUAUAUUCCAUUUUUUAUUGUUCAAAAAAAAGUUAUUGUUCGCUAAGUAAUUGUCUUAGAGAUAUCAUAUCAUUUAGCUGUGACAAAAUUUAGUUGCCGAUCAUGCUUUUGAUGUUAGACACGCGAGACCUGGCUUGAGUCAAAAAAUUGGUUUUGCUAUAUUUUGCUAAAUUGUCGUGAACAUAAUCAAUUGUUACGGCUAGUACCACUAUUACCAAAUCCUAAUCUCUGUUAAUCAUCAGUUGUUUCAUUUAAUUUAGCUAAUUAAGUGGAACAUAAUUGCCAUGGUUUAGAACUGGGGUUAUUGCUUUAGGUUUUUCAAACGGUUUUUAAAGUCUCCUUAUUGGAGAUGCUUUCUCUAAGGAUUCAAUUCUAAAUAACGUGAAAUCUUAGUAAUGUACAUUAGUUCGGCAUUAAAACAUGAUGAAAUUCAUAAAACAUUAACGGAUAAGAUUAGUGUUGUGUAAUCAUUGAGACGAUCCAGAUUUUAAAACCUUACCUUUUAAUCCAAAAUUAGAUUUUAGAUAUAGACCGUCCGAAACCGAGAUGUUGUAAUUGUGUGCAAUCAUAAGAUCAUGACUACACCUAACCCUAAUCUAAUAAACACCAAGAAUGAUAUAUAUAUAUAUAUAUAUAUAUAUAUAUAUAUAUAUAUAUAUAUAUAUAAUACCGU
This 31715-nucleotide long non-coding RNA is filed under the name Medicago truncatula (barrel medic). Its description in RNAcentral is "long non-coding RNA (MTRU_LNC005111)". The stretch from base 3715 to 3799 matches the Rfam family "MIR2617 microRNA precursor family". The record is from RNAcentral. Lineage: Eukaryota; Viridiplantae; Streptophyta; Magnoliopsida; Fabales; Fabaceae.